Lytechinus pictus (painted urchin) is the source of this 4237-nucleotide long non-coding RNA. RefSeq lists it as uncharacterized. The transcript has 3 exons. NCBI's taxonomy places the organism in Eukaryota, Metazoa, Echinodermata, Echinoidea, Temnopleuroida, Toxopneustidae. The record is from RefSeq and is a predicted model, not a curated record.
AUAGCUUUACGUUUACGUGCUGGGGGUAACGGGCGCUGGGUGAGUUACCAGCUAGCGGUACACAGACUAGACGUAGACAUACAUGUACUGCAGAUAUAUGCGAGAUUACAUUCGGAGUAUUCGGCCUCCGUCCGUCUGGUGCUUGUACACUGGUGUAUUAAUUGUUGUACUGGUGAAGUGCAUCAGAUAAAAAAUUGCUUACAGCGUGCAAAUAUUAACAGGAGACUUGAGUUUGAGUCGGGAUCUUUUGACAAACAUUCAUUGGCGCCCAUUCAUUUGCUAUUUCCUUAAUUCUGCAGACUGAUUGGGUGUGUUUUGUUUUGGUACAUCUACAGGUGUAUGUGAGUCAUAUCUUUAUGACAUAAUGUCAACCACCUCCGCAAGAGCCUAUACCUUAGGAGUGGAAGCAAUCUGAACCAGCUACCCGUACACAGAUAGGGGCUCGGCAUUCUAUCAUUUAAGAUGGCAUACCACUUCUGAAUGAGGCAUCCUUUUCUUCCUGAUUUGCCGUUGCUUCUUUAAAGAGCGGCUGAUGUCUCCCUUUAAACUUUGAAAGAUUCCAUCAUGAUGACCUGAGUAGAAGAAGAUUUCCUUGAGAGAGAAUUCCUAGGAUUAUCAAGGAUCUAACUGACAACAGUUCAGCAGCUGCCUCUGCUGCUGGUCAGCUGGCCAACACUAAAGCCUAUAGAAGCUGCCUAAUAACAACCAACCAAGAGGUGGCCAUCACCAUAGCCCAUUGAAGCUGCCUUACAGCUGGCCAAGACUAGAAUAUCUAUAUUUCAGCCAUUGGGAGUGUAUGAUCCUUGCCAGUCAGAAGAAAAAAUUGACCCCCUGGUGAGUUAGUCACUAUUAACUUUUUUUAAUACUGUUUGACAAUUUCUCUUUGACCAGUUUAUACAAUUUGAAUGAAAAUGUUUGUGUGUGGGUGUGUGUGAGCAAAAGACUUUCCGAUGAAUAGUGAUCAUGGAAGGUUUCGUGACAGGAAUGACAAUUUGUCAACUGAGAAAUGCCAGAUGAAACGGUUCCAUGACACUUGCUCCGGCGACAAUUGUUAUACUGUGAAAUCCACACACUAAUGGAAUGGCCAACUUCAACCCUAAAUCUAAUGUAAAAUUAUACCCCAUAUCCUAAACCUAACCCUACACCUACAUGUAAUUAAAACCCUAGUCCCUAUUGCAACCCUUACCCUAUACAAUGUAUAUCUGAGACGAAAUGAAGCCCGGAGCAAUUGUUGCAGGAGCGAAAUAUGUACCUUUUGAUCUUAAAAUUCAUCAUGUUGAUCUGUAAAAGUUAUAGGUAUCGGCCUAUAUAUCAUAUUAAAGUUGUGUCUUAUUCAAUUAAUUUUUUGAAAAUUUGGUUAGGUGCAAAAAUGUAGAAUUUUUUUAACAGAAUCUUUGCACAGGUCUCCAAAACUUUCAAAAUUUUUUGACCUCUGUAUGCAUGUUCUAUUAUGUCUACAGUCAUUUUCUUGUCAGUCUGUGUACUACUACACUAUAUUCGUGCAUGGAAAAUGACAUACAUGUACAUGUAUGAAUUCAAAGGACUUUGAGGCUGUUCUCACUACGUUCCUAGAACUAUAUUUAGUGGAAACUAGUUUAACGCGUAGUGAGAACGGUCAAAGCGGUCUUGGAAGCGAUCUUCCAAACAAGUUUGGAAAACCACCUCGCAAUGUAGUUUUCAAGAUCGCUUUGCCUCGUUAAACUGGUUUUAGCGUAAGUGAGGACACAACCGUUCUUCGGGAAGCGAUCUUCGCACAUUUUGAGCGCGCUACUCCACACGACAGGUGUAGAAUGCCUAUGCUGCGGUUUCUAAUUUCGCGCGAAACGUGUCACCCCACUGAGAGCGUUUCCAUAGCAACAAGAGCGCUUUACGUGAAGUGAUUUUGAAAACCACUUUCAUGUGAUCAAGUGGGAACGCUAGCAAAGCGAUCUUCCAAAGUGGUUUCCUGAAUCGGUUUCCAGUAAACUAGUUUUAGAAAGCGUAAUGAGAACGGCCUCUUUUACACAGUAAUACAGUGUACAUAGAUCUGCAGAAAAAGUUUGGGUCAGCCCAGGGUAGUCAGUUGUGGGAAUUAAUACCCUUUCAUAAACCCAAUAAAACAUAUCCUCCAAUUAGCAGCCUAAGAGUAAUGCGGAUAAUUCAAUAAAAAUUGCGUUCACAAACUCCAUAAAUUAUUUUUACGAGCGCCCGUCCUGAAAAAGGCGGAUAAUCAUCAUGACAACUGGACACGCCCCCUCCAAUGCGGUUGUGUUGGAAAAGGGUGACCUUGUGACCGCACCAUGGCAAUUAUCCGCAUUAUUUGGAAAUACGUUCAUAAACUCAAAAUCUUGUCCCGAUGCCGCUAUUAUGCGGAUAAUAGCAGCAUCAGAAUAAUGCGGAUAACUCUUGUCCUCCUCUGAUUUUACGAUCAAAUUAUGCUGCUAUUAGCCGCAUAAUUGUGUUUUAUUGGGUUUAUGAAAGGGGUAUAAGGGAAUAACAGCAAAAGAUAGAAAUGACACAAAUACAACACAAACAGAAUACUGUACAUGCACAGUAGGCCUCUGCUAUAAAAGCACAAAACUGUAUUAGUUUGGUUCACUGAAUCUAUUGUCCUCUGAUUUUAUAGUUAUAUAAAGAGUUGAGGAAAUGCAGAAGGUGCAUCGAUGCUUUUGUUGUUUAAUUCCUCUCUUUGUUUUUUUUUUCCUGUUAUUUUUGUGCCCUGCACAUACACGUACAUUUUUUCAUUUCAAUGGGAAAUUGUUCCCCUUCAUUACUCCUUGAGGAUCACACCAAAAAUGUUAUUUUCUUUUCAUUCAGAAAAAUGAUGUCAAAAUGCCCUGUAUUGUCCAUGAAGGGGAGUAAACCAAGGUCUUCAUGCUAAAUGAUUUGUACUCUCUCUCACUUUCUGUUUAUAUUGUUUGUUAUCUGAUUUUCUUUUGUUUAAAUUUGAAUCACACCCUGAAUACAUAAAAACACAUUGAAAACAUGUAGUUCAUACUAUUGUUGAUAUAGGCCAACCCUCUACUGGUUAUAUAUCCAUUGUAUGACGGUUUGUGAAGGCCAGUCUGUUGACACAAUGCAACUAAGAGAAAAGAGAUAAAAAUGUUAUCACUUAUACAAAUUAUUAAUGUUCAUGGGUGCAAUGCAAUGGAGAGAAUAUACUUCAUGAGGUGAAAAAUGAAAUAAUCCAUUUCCGUAUUUUGUUUGUUUUAUACAUGACUAGCCGAAUGGGUUUUUUAGAACAUGGUCUAAAGUCUCUAGGUUAGGAACUUACUGAGGAUUAUUUUUACUUGGCUGUUUAUGAGGAAAAUUCUUAACAUUGUCUUACCAUGGACCUUUGUAAUAGGUCCAUGGUCUUACUUUAUACUUCUUUAUGCUAUAAAAAGCAUAGUGUAGUUGGCCUUUAAUGCACUGCAAAGUUUCACAACUUCCUGAUAAAAACAAAAAACAUUUAACUAUGCAGUAGGGCCUGUAGUCAUGAGGAAAAAAUGUUGGUCAUGCCAGUAUCUUUUGAUAUCCUUGAUGUUGAAUAAUGUUUAAACCAAAUGAGUGAUAAUCUAUCUUGUUGUUUGCAUGGAUGUGGUGAAAUAUUACCAAUCAGUAAGGUUAUUCACACUGAGGCCAUGGUACUUUAUAGCUGGGGCUUAAAGGGAUGGAUGAACUUUGUUGAUAACAGUGGAUAUCUAGAUUGUGAUAUGAUUUUGGCUGAAACUGAAAGACAAAUAAAACUAACAAAAAAGUGAUUGGCCAUUUGGCUUUAGUAGAACUAAAGAUCUUCGGGCCAGUACAGGUUACAGUUUGUAAUUCAGAGUAUAUACUGAUUUAAGACUUUCUUUACUAUACAAUACAUGUAGCAUUUUCCUUGGCUAAACAAAAUGCUAUACACAUAGAUUACUCUUAUUCAGAUCAGUUCCAAGUGUUUUACUUUAUCAAUCUAAAUUCAAGCAAAAUACAUGUACUUAGUAAACUUAUUUACCAUUGUGGCAUCAUAAAGUCGAAGCCAAAUAAUUUGCUAAAUAUAUUCAGCUGCAUGCAGUAUACAUUACCUGUACGUUUCAUUUAUAAAUGCAUCGAUGUACAUGCAUGUUUGAAAACUGCAGACAAGCCAGACGUAAGCCAGGUACCGGUACAUCAAUUUAGGGGGCGGAUACUUAUAUUGAAAAGACACUUUUUUAUAAACAUACAUGCAGAUGAUCGAUAUAUUUUACUUUUAAUUGCAGAAAACCAAAUAAAUAAUUCAACUUUUGGCUUACAGUGU